Molecule: long non-coding RNA, 657 nt
Filed under: Homo sapiens (human)
Lineage: Eukaryota; Metazoa; Chordata; Mammalia; Primates; Hominidae
Description: HSALNT0209893
Source: RNAcentral
CUCAAGGGGGCAUCCAAUGGACCUCACCUGUGGUGUCUUAAAAAAAAACACACACACAACACGAGCCUUUCUACGCACACCAUACAGAGAUUGUCUUUGGCUAAGGGAAGACUGUAACUGCACAAGGAAGAAGGAAGCACUGCAUUAGCGAGUCCUGAAGAUCCUUUCCAGCUCUUUGAUUAUAUGACAUUCUGACUAGCACAAAGAGGCACACCUGCAAUCCUACUGAGAGUUCCAUGGAUCAUUAAUGAUUAUUCAUGGUGAAGGAAGCAGAGUUCUUAAGAAUAACUGUACAAUGUGCUAGGAGUGCAACAUCCCUGAGAUAAGGAGAGACUGACUGGAACAGCAUGGGCUCAGUGCCAGUUCCACCCUAAAAGGAGGAUGUUCUUCAAUGCUUUAAAUCAGCAACUCACAUGACCUCAAGAUAUCAAACAUGGGAAUGGCGGGCUGCUUUCCAUGCUCCCCUCUCUGUGGUUCUGGUGGGAAAUACCCAGAGGAGACUUCACCUGCCCUGGGCAGCUUUCCUGAGCCUUGGGCCAGCUCACAGUGAGUCCUAGGCUUCUGUUGUUCCUUGCUGCCUAACUGUAAGUAUUAAUAAUAAAACUCAAAUAAGUUGGUAAUCAGUGCACAGUGAACCUGCUUCACAGCAAUAUUUUU